Molecule: ribosomal RNA, 269 nt
Filed under: unidentified marine bacterioplankton
Lineage: Bacteria
Description: partial 16S ribosomal RNA
Rfam family: Bacterial small subunit ribosomal RNA
Source: RNAcentral
CGGCAGGCUUAACACAUGCAAGUCGAACGCGUGUAGCAAUACACGAGUGGCGCACGGGUGAGUAAACGCGUGGAUAUCUGCCUUUGUUCGGAAUAACCCGGAAACUGGGGCUAAUACCGGAUGGUCCUUCGGGAUAAAGAUUUAUCGCCAAAAGAUGAGUCCGCGUACGAUUAGCUAGUUGGUGAGGUAAUGGCUCACCAAGGCGACGAUCGUUAGCUGGUCUGAGAGGAUGAUCAGCCACACUGGGACUGAGACACGGCCCAGACUCC